CCCCCCCCCCCCCAGCACCAAGAGCUUGAUGAUUUUACUACCUGAACAAUCUUGAGGUAUUGAAAUUGGCACUUCUGGUCAUCUAACGUUGCUCCAACAUCACAGAGCCCAUUAAAUAUGCUAUUUCUUCGUCUGUAUGUAGAUUCACCCACAAAGCAGCAGUGUAUCAAUCAUGAUUUCGGGAGACCGUAACCAAAGCCAGGCUGUCAAUGUACACCUUAUGCAUGAGUUGCACCUGAUAAUAUAUUUAAGGUCUUAAAAGUUUGUAUUAUAUUAUGUAAUGUCAAUUGUUUUUAGGAAAUAAUUGCCAAAUUCAGCCCUAGUUACCUACUGAAAGAUUUUUAUGUUUACUGA
Non-coding RNA from Aegilops tauschii subsp. strangulata, 354 nucleotides. Lineage: Eukaryota; Viridiplantae; Streptophyta; Magnoliopsida; Poales; Poaceae. The record is from RefSeq and is a predicted model, not a curated record.